UCUAAAAUGGCAGAUUAGUGCAUUGGAUUUAAACUCCAAAUAUAAAGAAAUUUUUUUAGAA
RNAcentral lists this transfer RNA (61 nucleotides) under Xyloterini sp. RNAcentral describes it as "tRNA-Leu". The record is from RNAcentral. Lineage: Eukaryota; Metazoa; Arthropoda; Insecta; Coleoptera; Curculionidae.